AGAGUUUGAUCCUGGCUCAGGACGAACGCUGGCGGCGUGCCUAAUACAUGCAAGUAGAACGCUGAAGAGAGGAGCUUGCUCUUCUUGGAUGAGUUGCGAACGGGUGAGUAACGCGUAGGUAACCUGCCUUGUAGCGGGGGAUAACUAUUGGAAACGAUAGCUAAUACCGCAUAACAAUGGAUGACACAUGUCAUUUAUUUGAAAGGGGCAAUUGUUCCACUACAAGAUGGACCUGCGUUGUAUUAGCUAGUAGGUGAGGUAAUGGCUCACCUAGGCGACGAUACAUAGCCGACCUGAGAGGGUGAUCGGCCACACUGGGACUGAGACACGGCCCAGACUCCUACGGGAGGCAGCAGUAGGGAAUCUUCGGCAAUGGGGGCAACCCUGACCGAGCAACGCCGCGUGAGUGAAGAAGGUUUUCGGAUCGUAAAGCUCUGUUGUAAGUCAAGAACGGGUGUGAGAGUGGAAAGUUCACACUAUGACGGUAGCUUACCAGAAAGGGACGGCUAACUACGUGCCAGCAGCCGCGGUAAUACGUAGGUCCCGAGCGUUGUCCGGAUUUAUUGGGCGUAAAGCGAGCGCAGGCGGUUUGAUAAGUCUGAAGUUAAAGGCUGUGGCUCAACCAUAGUUCGCUUUGGAAACUGUCAAACUUGAGUGCAGAAGGGGAGAGUGGAAUUCCAUGUGUAGCGGUGAAAUGCGUAGAUAUAUGGAGGAACACCGGUGGCGAAAGCGGCUCUCUGGUCUGUAACUGACGCUGAGGCUCGAAAGCGUGGGGAGCGAACAGGAUUAGAUACCCUGGUAGUCCACGCCGUAAACGAUGAGUGCUAGGUGUUGGAUCCUUUCCGGGAUUCAGUGCCGCAGCUAACGCAUUAAGCACUCCGCCUGGGGAGUACGACCGCAAGGUUGAAACUCAAAGGAAUUGACGGGGGCCCGCACAAGCGGUGGAGCAUGUGGUUUAAUUCGAAGCAACGCGAAGAACCUUACCAGGUCUUGACAUCCCGAUGCUAUUUCUAGAGAUAGAAAGUUACUUCGGUACAUCGGUGACAGGUGGUGCAUGGUUGUCGUCAGCUCGUGUCGUGAGAUGUUGGGUUAAGUCCCGCAACGAGCGCAACCCCUAUUGUUAGUUGCCAUCAUUCAGUUGGGCACUCUAGCGAGACUGCCGGUAAUAAACCGGAGGAAGGUGGGGAUGACGUCAAAUCAUCAUGCCCCUUAUGACCUGGGCUACACACGUGCUACAAUGGUUGGUACAACGAGUUGCGAGUCGGUGACGGCGAGCUAAUCUCUUAAAGCCAAUCUCAGUUCGGAUUGUAGGCUGCAACUCGCCUACAUGAAGUCGGAAUCGCUAGUAAUCGCGGAUCAGCACGCCGCGGUGAAUACGUUCCCGGGCCUUGUACACACCGCCCGUCACACCACGAGAGUUUGUAACACCCGAAGUCGGUGAGGUAACCUUUUGGAGCCAGCCGCCUAAGGUGGGACAGAUGAUUGGGGUGAAGUCGUAACAAGGUAGCCGUAUCGGAAGGUGCGGCUGGAUCACCU
Molecule: ribosomal RNA, 1536 nt
Filed under: Streptococcus thermophilus
Lineage: Bacteria; Bacillati; Bacillota; Bacilli; Lactobacillales; Streptococcaceae
Description: bacterial SSU rRNA
Rfam family: Bacterial small subunit ribosomal RNA
Source: RNAcentral